RNAcentral lists this ribosomal RNA (463 nucleotides) under uncultured bacterium. RNAcentral's name for it is "partial 16S ribosomal RNA". It matches the Rfam family "Bacterial small subunit ribosomal RNA", at positions 28 to 507 of the family's 1533-position model. The record is from RNAcentral.
GAUGAACGCUGACAGAAUGCUUAACACAUGCAAGUCUUUGGCGAAUCUGUGCUUGCACAGGCUAGCCAAGGCGGACGGGUGAGUAACGCGUAAAGAACUUGCCCUGCAGACAGGGAUAACAGACGGAAACGACUGAUAACACCCGAUACAGUUGCCGGCACGCAUGUGCCUGGCAAUGAAAAGAGAUGCUGCAGGAGAGCUUUGCGUCCUAUUAGCUUGUUGGUGAGGUGACGGCUCACCAAGGCGAUGAUAGGUAGCCGGCCUGAGAGGGUGAACGGCCACAAGGGGACUGAGAUACGGCCCUUACUCCUACGGGAGGCAGCAGUGGGGAAUAUUGGACAAUGGGGGCAACCCUGAUCCAGCAAUUCUGUGUGCACGAAGAAGGUUUUCGGAUUGUAAAGUGCUUUCAGCAGGGAAGAAGAAAGUGACGGUACCUGCAGAAGAAGCGACGGCUAAAUACGUG